This 245-nucleotide ribosomal RNA is filed under the name uncultured bacterium. RNAcentral's name for it is "partial 16S ribosomal RNA". It matches the Rfam family "Bacterial small subunit ribosomal RNA", at positions 532 to 776 of the family's 1533-position model. The record is from RNAcentral.
UCACAAACGUUAUUCGGAAGUACUGGGCUUAAAGGGUGCGUAGGCGGCGCGGUAAGUUGGGUGUGAAAUCCCUCGGCUCAACCGAGGAAUUGCGCUCAAAACUACCGUGCUCGAGGGAGAUAGAGGAGCGCGGAACUUAGGGUGGAGCGGUGAAAUGCGUUGAUAUCCUAGGGAACACCGGUGGCGAAGGCGGCUCACUGGGGCUUUUCUGACGCUGAGGAACGAAAGCCAGGGUAGCGAACGGG